This 406-nucleotide ribosomal RNA is filed under the name uncultured bacterium. Its description in RNAcentral is "partial 16S ribosomal RNA". It matches the Rfam family "Bacterial small subunit ribosomal RNA", at positions 30 to 526 of the family's 1533-position model. The record is from RNAcentral.
AUUGAACGCUGGCGGCCGGCCUAACACAUGCAAGUCGAGCGAGCGGCGGACGGGUGAGUAAUGUCUGGGAAACUGCCUGAUGGAUGGGGAUAACUACUGGAAACGGUAGCUAAUACCGCAUACCAUCAGAUGUGCCCAGUUGGGAUUUGCUUGUAGGUGGGGUAACGGCUCACGUAGGCGACGAGCCCUAGCUGGUCUGAGCGGAUGACCAGCCACACUGGAACUGAGACACGGGCCAGACUCCUACGGGAGGCAGCAGUGGGGAAUAUUGCGCAAUGGGCGAAAGCCUGAUGCAGCCAUGCCGCGUGUGUGAAGAAGGCCUUCGGGUUGUAAAGCACUUUCAGCGGGGAGGCGUUACCCGCAGAAGAAGCACCGGCUAACUCCGUGCCAGCCGCCGCGGUAAUUC